UUCAGAGUCAAUUGAAAAUUGAAGAAAAUAGGGAUCUUUUGGUGGUUUUUGGUGUUUUUGAGAUGGUAACCGGUAUGAAUUGUUCACUAAUUGAUUCAUUGAUAGGUAUUUAGCUUAUUGGAGUUUUUGGGUUUUAUUGAUUUAUUGCAUUUAGAUGGAACUCUUGUGAAUCACAAUACCAAAUAUUUUCCAAUUGGACCAGUUUAUUUGUUAUCUGUUUUAGUUUGAUGAUUUAUCAAUUAUCAUGUUGUAUAGGUUGUUUUCUUUGCUUCUGCUUCUGCUGUUAGUAUUUCUUUCUCUAUGAUAUAUGGAGCCUUUGUAAGGUUGACCACAACCAGUAUUCCAACUGAUGGGUGAGUACAUCAUGUGUAUUUAUUGAAAAUCAGGCAUAGUUGGUGCAAUUGUGUUCACUUGUUUUGAGUAAAAUAAAUGUCUUGUUUAAUAUAUGGCUUCAUUCUUGCUUGAGUACUAGAUUUUGGGGGUUGGGGCAUUGCUAAUAGUUACUGAGCAUGAGUGCAAGUUCCUAACUAUGCUUGAUUGUAAACUUUUGAUUACUUUCUAUAGGUGUUGUGCAAAAAGGUAUUUAAUGCUAUUUUUAGAGACUGUAAUGGUAUUUCCAUUUUCUACUUAUGUUUUGUUGAUUGAAAUUCUAUGGUGAUUGAAUUUGCUUCAUCGCCGUUUUCUAUCACAAGCACUAAAUCCCUAGUCAUCGACCUAAAUCCUUAAAUUGUUGUUUCCUUCAUUUCAAUACCUAAUCCCUAAAUUUUCGACGAAGCUUCUCAAUUUCUGGCUAGUGACAAAGCUUCUAUUUCUUUCUCUCGUUGAACAUAGUUCAUUGUUUUCAUAUCAGGUUCCUUGUUCUCUCUUUGAGCAAGUUAUCCUUUGAAAAAACAACUAUCAGCUGAUUGUAUCAUAGCUUUGCUUUGGAUCUGUUUUUGUUGGUUGUGAAGAUUAGUAGAAUGGCAUGUUAGGUUGAGAAUUGAAAUUUAAGAUUUUGUAUGAUUUUUAUGAUGUUUUUUUUUUUUUGAGAAUUGAUUGUUUGUUUUGUUUUGUGAGGUUUGGAUGAGUAGAUCUGCUUCAUGCAUUUAGCUACUUGCCUUGUGAUCUUAAUUUCAUCGAUCAUACUAGUGACAUUGGAUGGAAAGAACACCAGUGUGCGAGGCCGACAAUUGUUGAUCCGGGGUAGUACAUGAAUAAGAAGUAAGAUGUGUUUUGUGUUACAUAGACGAGAAGUAAACCAACUGCUUUCAAACUUUUCACAGCCAAUUUCUUAAGUCUGCUGCCAAAUUUUAACCCUGCUGCUGAUUUUGUAACUCUGCUACCGUUUUCGUAAUUGAAUAAGAAGAAUCGAGAAAUGAUUAAGGAUCAUGAAGCAACAUAACAUACUAGGGAUUGCUUUUUUUCCUUUUAGAGUUUCAAGUUAUUUAAUUAAAUUUUUUAUGUAUGAAUGUUGUCACUAUUAAAUUAAUUAUAUGAAUGAAAUUAAAUU
Trifolium pratense (red clover) is the source of this 1489-nucleotide long non-coding RNA. RefSeq lists it as uncharacterized. The record is from RefSeq and is a predicted model, not a curated record. NCBI's taxonomy places the organism in Eukaryota, Viridiplantae, Streptophyta, Magnoliopsida, Fabales, Fabaceae. The transcript has 4 exons.